RNAcentral lists this ribosomal RNA (874 nucleotides) under uncultured bacterium. RNAcentral describes it as "bacterial SSU rRNA". It matches the Rfam family "Bacterial small subunit ribosomal RNA", at positions 28 to 896 of the family's 1533-position model. The record is from RNAcentral.
AUUGAACGCUGGCGGUAUGCUUUACACAUGCAAGUCGAACGGCAGCAUAGGUGCUUGCACCUGAUGGCGAGUGGCGAACGGGUGAGUAAUGCAUCGGAACGUGCCCAAUCGUGGGGGAUAACGCAGCGAAAGCUGUGCUAAUACCGCAUACGAUCUACGGAUGAAAGCGGGGGACCUUCGGGCCUCGCGCGAAUGGAGCGGCCGAUGUUAGAUUAGGUAGUUGGUGGGGUAAAGGCUCACCAAGCCGACGAUCUAUAGCUGGUCUGAGAGGACGACCAGCCACACUGGAACUGAGACACGGUCCAGACUCCUACGGGAGGCAGCAGUGGGGAAUUUUGGACAAUGGGCGAAAGCCUGAUCCAGCAAUACCGCGUGCAGGAAGAAGGCCUUCGGGUUGUAAACUGCUUUUGUACGGAACGAAAAGGCUCUUUCUAAUAAAGAGGGCUCAUGACGGUACCGUAAGAAUAAGCACCGGCUAACUACGUGCCAGCAGCCGCGGUAAUACGUAGGGUGCGAGCGCUAAUCGGAAUUACUGGGCGUAAAGCGUGCGCAGGCGGUUUUGUAAGACAGGCGUGAAAUCCCCGGGCUCAACCUGGGAAUUGCGCUUGUGACUGCAAGGCUAGAGUACGGUAGAGGGGGGUAGAAUUCCGCGUGUAGCAGUGAAAUGCGUAGAUAUGCGGAGGAACACCGAUGGCGAAGGCAGCCCCCUGGACCUGUACUGACGCUCAUGCACGAAAGCGUGGGGAGCAAACAGGAUUAGAUACCCUGGUAGUCCACGCCCUAAACGAUGUCAACUGGUUGUUGGGAAUUUACUUUCUCAGUAACGAAGCUAACGCGUGAAGUUGACCGCCUGGGGAGUACGGCCGNCAGGUUG